AGAAUGGCACAAUAAAAGGCCUUUCCUUUCUUAGCAUUAAUCCCACAGGAAAAGACAGUUUUGUCAUCUCCAUUUGCGCAGCAAUUUUAAUUUCCUUUCUCUUUUACCCUUCGAGAUCAGUAAAAGAAUGAAAACAUUUGUAACUGAAAGAUAACAUCAUCUCCUAAAGGAUCUUACUAAGCAGCAAAACUAAGAUUUUCAAAACCUUGAAUUCAAGUAUCUCAAGGACUUACCUAAAGGGCAAAUAAAAUGAGUCUCCUCCAAACAUGUUACAUAAAUUGAAUGCAAAGUCUUCUAACAUAUGCUACACAUACUUUGCUAAGGGAUACCAAGGUUGAAGUAAUGCAGAAGAAUGCAACAGUUUCCGACACUCGUGCUAAACUUAUAUUGAGUAGGAGAUACCACAGUUGAAGUUUACAGAUAGAAUGAAUAAAUAAAUUUUGCUCAAAAAAAUUGCUCAAAAUAUUCAUUGGUAACGAGUGAACGUAUUCGCACAAAGUUCCAUAAAUUAUGAGCCCAAAUUUUUAGAUAACAUCUAUAUCAAGUUUCAAAGUCCUUGUUUGGUAUCGUUUGAACAGGUCCAAUAGUUUUCUAAACAUCUAAUUUGAAGGCUGAGCCCUUUGAAUUUCACAAAACAUUUAUAGCAAAUCUCACUUGGAGUUACUGGACAAGGUCCAAUUCUAAUUGUUUACAUAACCAUCUAAAUUUGUUCUAAGAAUUCUAAUUCUUGCAGCUACCAGCAUCACAUUUUGAACACAUCCAUAAAAUGGAAUAUCUAUCUCAUACUCAAGUAACAUACUAAGCAAUUAGCCAACUCAUUCAUAAGAGGUAAAGUUGAUCAAACAGUUGGUGCUCCUCAAUUCUCAAUUUUUGUUGACCACUAAGAGACCAAACAGUAGCGAGCUUGUGGGCUAAAGGAACUUCUGAAAGCUUUUUUUUUUUUUUUUAAUCAUAUAAAUUGAAAAAUUAUAAGCUCGCUGAAGCCUGAAAAUCUCCACCAUUGUUUACCAGGGAA
RNAcentral lists this long non-coding RNA (1015 nucleotides) under Olea europaea (common olive). RNAcentral's name for it is "long non-coding RNA (OEUR_LNC013818)". The record is from RNAcentral. Lineage: Eukaryota; Viridiplantae; Streptophyta; Magnoliopsida; Lamiales; Oleaceae.